GGUCAAGUGAAUAAGUGCAUCAGGCGGAUGCCUUGGCGAUGAUAGGCGACGAAGGACGUGUAAGCCUGCAAAAAGCGCGGGGGAGCUGGCAAUAAAGCUAUGAUUCCGCGAUGUCCGAAUGGGGAAACCCACUGCAUUCUGUGCAGCAUCCUAAGUUGAAUACAUAGGCUUAGAGAAGCGAACCGAAGAACUGAACCAUCUAAGUACCCGGAAAAAAGAAAUCAACGAGAUUCCGCAAGUAGUGGCGAGCGAACGUGGGAGAGCCUGUACGUAAUAACUGUCGAGAGAUAGAAGAACAAGCUGGGAAGCUUGACCAUAGCGGGUGACAGUCCCGUAUUCGAAAUCUCAACAGCGGUACUAAGCGUACAAAAAAGUAGGGCGGGACACGUGAAAUCCUGUCUGAAUAUGGGGGGGAUCCUCCAAGGCUAAAUACUCAUCAUCGACCGAUAGUGAACCAGUACCGUGAGGGAAAGGCGAAAAGAACCCCGGGAGGGGAGUGAAACAGAACCUGAAACCUGAUGCAUACAAACAGUGGGAAGCGCCCUAGUGGUGUGACUGCGUACCCUUUUAUAAUGGGUCAACGACUUACAUUCAGUAGCGAGCUUAACCGGAUAGGGAGGCGUAGGAAACCGAGUCUUAAUAGGGGCGAUGAGUUGCUGGGGUAGACCCGAAACCGAGUGAUCUAUCCAUGGUCAGGUUGAAGGUGCCGUAACAGGUACUGGAGACCGAACCCACGCAUGUUGCAAAAUGCGGGGAUGAGCUGGGUAGGGGUGAAAGGCUAAACAAACUCGGAGAUAGCUGGUUCUCCCAAAAACUAUUUAGUAGUGCCUCGAGCAAGACACUGAUGGGGGUAAAGCACUGUUAUGGCUAGGGGGUUAUUGCAACUUACCAACCCAUGGCAAACUCAGAAUACCAUCAAGUGGCUUCCUCGAAGAGACAGACAGCGGGUGCUAAUGUCCGUUGUCAAGAGGGAAACAACCCAGACCGCCGGCUAAGGUGCCCCAAAUGAUAGAUUAAGUGGUAAACGAAGUGGGAAGGCACAGACAGCCAGGAUGUUGGCUUAGAAGCAGCCAUCAUUUAAAGAAAGCGUAAUAGCUCACUGGUCGAGUCGUCCUGCGCGGAAGAUGUAACGGGCUCAAAUCUAUAACCGAAGCUGCGGAUGCCGGUUUACCGGCAUGGUAGGGGAGCGUUCUGUAGGCUGAUGAAGGUGCAUUGUAAAGUGUGCUGGAGGUAUCAGAAGUGCGAAUGUUGACAUGAGUAGCGAUAAAGCGGGUGAAAAAGCCCGCUCGCGAAAGCCCAAGGUUUCCUACGCAACGUUCAUCGCGCGUAGGUGAGCCGCCGCAAGGCGAGGCAGAAAUGCGUAGUCGAUGGGAAACAGGUUAAUAUUCCUGUACUUGAUUCAAAUGCGAUGUGGGGACGGAGAAGGUUAGGUUGGCAAGCUGUUGGAACAGCUUGUUUAAGCCGGUAGGUGGAAGACUUAGGCAAAUCCGGGUUUUCUUAACACCGAGAAGUGAUGACGAGUGUCUACGGACACGAAGCAACCGAUACCACGCUUCCAGGAAAAGCCACUAAGCUUCAGUUGAAUCGAACCGUACCGCAAACCGACACAGGUGGGCAGGAUGAGAAUUCUAAGGUUGCCUUAAAAGAACUCGAGAAGGAACUCGGCAAAUUGAUACCGUAACUUCGGGAGAAGGUAUGCCCUCUAAGGUUAAGGACUUGCUCGUAAGCCCCGGAGAAGGUCGCAGAGAAUAGGUGGCUGCGACUGUUUAUUAAAAACACAGCACUCUGCCAACACGAAAGUGGACGUAUAGGUGUGACGCCUGCCCGGUGCCGGAAGGUUAAUUGAAGAUAUGCAAGCAUCGGAUCGAAGCCCCGGUAAACGGCGGGCAUAACUAUAACGGUCCUAAGGUAGCGAAAUUCCUUGUCGGGUAAGUUCCGACCCGCACGAAUGGCGUAACGAUGGCCAUACUGUCUCCUCCCGAGACUCAGCGAAGUUGAAGUGGUUGUGAAGAUGCAAUCUACCCGCUGCUAGACGGAAAGACCCCGUGAACCUUUACUGUAGCUUUGCAUUGGACUUUGAAGUCACUUGUGUAGGAUGGGUGGGAGGCUUGGAAGCAGAGACGCCAGUCUCUGUGGAGUCGUCCUUGAAAUACCACCCUGGUGUCUUUGAGGUUCUAACCCAGACCCGUCAUCCGGGUCGGGCCCGUGCAUGGUAGGCAGUUUGACUGGGGCGGUCUCCUCCCAAAGCGUAACGGAGGAGUUCGAAGGUUACCUGAGGUCCGGUCGGAAAUCGGACUGAUAGUGCAAUGGCAAAAGGUAGCUUAACUGCGAGACCGACAAGUCGGGCAGGUGCGAAAGCAGGACAUAGUGAUCCGGUGGUUCUGUAUGGAAAGGCCAUCGCUCAACGGAUAAAAGUACUCCGGGAUAACAGGCUGAUUCCGCCCAAGAGUUCAUAUCGACGGCGGAGUUUGGCACCUCAAUAUCGGCUCAUCACAUCCUGGGGCUGUAUCGGCCCCAAGGUAUGGCUGUUCGCCAUUUAAAGUGGUACGUGAGCUGGGUUUAAAACGUCGUGAGACAGUUUGGCCCCCAUCUGCAGUGGGCGUUGGAAGUUUGACGGGGGCUGCUCCUAGUACGAGAGGACCGGAGUGGACGAACCUCUGGUGUACCGGUUGUAACGCCAGUUGCAUAGCCGGGUAGCUAAGUUCGGAAGAGAUAACGCUGAAAGCAUCUAAGCGCGAAACUCGCCUGAAGAUGAGACUUCCCUUGCGGUUUAACCGCACUAAAGGUCGUUCGAGACCAGGACGUUGAUAGGUGGGGGUGUGGAAGCGCGGUAACGCGUGAAGCUAACCCAUACUAAUUGCCCGUGAGGCUUGACUCU
This 2878-nucleotide ribosomal RNA is filed under the name Neisseria gonorrhoeae. RNAcentral describes it as "23S ribosomal RNA". It matches the Rfam family "Bacterial large subunit ribosomal RNA". Lineage: Bacteria; Pseudomonadati; Pseudomonadota; Betaproteobacteria; Neisseriales; Neisseriaceae. The record is from RNAcentral.